AAAUACAGUCACAUCACCCUGAACACACCUGAUCUCAUCUGAUCUCGGAAGCUAAGCAGGAUUGGGCCUGGUGAGUACUUGGAUGGGAGAGAAAAUAAGAGAAAUGUUCUUAUAUUUC
This 118-nucleotide ribosomal RNA is filed under the name Nomascus leucogenys (northern white-cheeked gibbon). Lineage: Eukaryota; Metazoa; Chordata; Mammalia; Primates; Hylobatidae. The record is from RNAcentral.